Molecule: ribosomal RNA, 849 nt
Filed under: uncultured Thauera sp.
Lineage: Bacteria; Pseudomonadati; Pseudomonadota; Betaproteobacteria; Rhodocyclales; Zoogloeaceae
Description: bacterial SSU rRNA
Rfam family: Bacterial small subunit ribosomal RNA
Source: RNAcentral
GGAUAACGUAGCGAAAGCUACGCUAAUACCGCAUACGCCCUGAGGGGGAAAGCGGGGGAUUCUUCGGAACCUCGCGCGAUUGGAGCGGCCGAUGUCGGAUUAGCUAGUAGGUGAGGUAAAGGCUCACCUAGGCGACGAUCCGUAGCGGGUCUGAGAGGAUGAUCCGCCACACUGGGACUGAGACACGGCCCAGACUCCUCCGGGUUGCAGCAGUGGGGAAUUUUGGACACUGGGCGCAAGCCUGAUCCAGCCAUGCCGCGUGAGUGAAGAAGCCUUCGGGUUGUAAAGCUCUUUCGGCCGGGAAGAAAUCGUGGUCUCUAACAUAGGCCAUGGAUGACGGUACCGGACUAAGAAGCACCGGCUAACUACGUGCCAGCAGCCGCGGUAAAUACGUAGGGUGCGAGCGUUAAUCGGAAUUACUGGGCGUAAAGCGUGCGCAGGCGGUUUUGUAAGACAGAUGUGAAAUCCCCGGGCUUAACCUGGGAACUGCGUUUGUGACUGCAAGGCUAGAGUACGGCAGAGGGGGGUGGAAUUCCUGGUGUAGCAGUGAAAUGCGUAGAGAUCAGGAGGAACACCGAUGGCGAAGGCAGCCCCCUGGGAUGACACUGACGCUCAUGUACGAAAGCGUGGGUAGCAAACAGGAUUAGAUACCCUGGUAGUCCACGCCCUAAACGAUGUCAACUGGUUGUUGGGGGAGUGAAAUCCCUUAGUAACGAAGCUAACGCGUGAAGUUGACCGCCUGGGGAGUACGGUCGCAAGAUUAAAACUCAAAGGAAUUGACGGGGACCCGCACAAGCGGUGGAUGAUGUGGAUUAAUUCGAUGCAACGCGAAAAACCUUACCUACCCUU